Molecule: long non-coding RNA, 583 nt
Organism: Mastomys coucha (southern multimammate mouse)
Lineage: Eukaryota; Metazoa; Chordata; Mammalia; Rodentia; Muridae
Exons: 2
Source: RefSeq, a predicted model, not a curated record
UUCCGGUAAGGCGCCGAGUUACGCGCUGGGCCCGCCCUCUUGAGUAGCUGGUGUUGAGGACGUGGGGUGUGGUGUCCAGGCUUAUCCUAGUGGAAACGUCUCCCUUGCGUCGGGCUCUUUCUAAGGCUCCAGGCCUAGCAACCCGUGUCGCUCCUCUCCGGAGGACACUGAGCGAGCGCCCUAAGGAGAGACUAAAGCCCUCUCUCCACUGCCGUGCUGUCUUCUGAAGGGUGGGAAGCCGUGGCUCCUCUACUCCGUUUGGCUGCAGGCGUCGGUUUCCUCAAAUUAGUGGUAUUCCCAUAAAAUAAAGAGCAACUGCCAAUACUAGGCGCGUGAUGCUGCGCGAGGAACGAAAAAAUGAGUCGGUCUCUCAGGAGCUUCUGCCCAGGUGGCCCUAGAGAGAGGGAAGUCAGAUGAUGUGAUGUGAGACUACUUUGGCAAGCUGCUAGUCACCACAUGCAUGACGGCGGAAGUACAGCCUUCUCUGCAGACAAGAAAGACUCCAAGUUAGAACCAUUCAGCUGUGCUGCUCCUAGCUUUCUCAUAAAAAACAAAUAAACCUUGGUUAAUUUUAGCUACCAAA